Centruroides sculpturatus (bark scorpion) is the source of this 165-nucleotide long non-coding RNA. RefSeq lists it as uncharacterized. Lineage: Eukaryota; Metazoa; Arthropoda; Arachnida; Scorpiones; Buthidae. The transcript has 3 exons. The record is from RefSeq and is a predicted model, not a curated record.
GUAAAGCUAGUUUUAGAAAAUGUGAUAGCAGUAUAUUUGUACUUGAAUAAAUAAUAAGGAAAUCUCAAUUAUAAAAAGAUAUUGAUGCAGUCAUAUUUUUGCCUUUUGAUACCCAUCGUAGGUUCAGUAGCCAGGUGAUGAGGAACGAAGCCCGACAUAUCUGGG